GUGACGCGCACAGCUGCUCCCAGAAGCUUGCUUUUACCCCUCUUUGUAAUCGUGCCUCCUCUCCUCCCUAACACCCCUUCCCAGGCACCGGAUCUGCCUCCUGUCACACCAGUGCCUUUCAGCUUUCUAGCAUUUUAUGUAAAUGAAAACAUGCAGUAUAAAUAAGUGUCUCUAUGGAUGCAGACUUUUCCUUCCUCAGGAAAAGCUCCAUGGAUCCACGUCCUCCAUCACAUCUUAUUUCUGGGCUCUUUGUGGUGCAGUUUCCUCCUUCUUCUCAUCAGCCAUGGGCCACUCAAGCCCCAGGGCGCCGUGGAAGCCCCUAGAGGAACAAACCCAGCACCUGCACCGCAAUCGGCCCCCUCCACCCGCAGCCGCCACAAUUCUAAUGCAAAGGCCCAGGCGUGCACACAGACUCACCCCACUCUUCCCGCACUCUGGGCCUGCCCCCACCUCCACCGGGGACUCCCUCAUUUCCUCCCCUGUGGCUUGCUCUCAGGAUCCCUGUCACCUCGCCUGUGAAGUGGAAGGACAUGGAUCCCCCAAAUCGCUGUGACCAUCCACUGGGAGAGGGCAGGCAUGCAUGCACAUAGCGCCAGGCAUAGAGUGAGCAGGGAAGGGCAGCCUCUGCCUUCCGGUCACUGCAGUGGUGCUGGGUAAACUCGGCGGGCUCCCAGAUGGUCUCCGGGAGUCUCAGCUAUUAGACAGCACAGCUGACUAAUACAUAACACGUAUAUACAUACACAUACGUGCACAUACAUCAUAUAUAUACGUCAUAUAUUAUACAUGAUAGGUAAAAUGUGCCUAUAACUAUAAUAACACUAAAUAUGUAUUAAUAUAUUAAUAUAUUACCAUGCAUUGGCAG
This 862-nucleotide long non-coding RNA is filed under the name Cavia porcellus (domestic guinea pig). Its description in RNAcentral is "lncRNA (ENSCPOG00000040031.1)". Lineage: Eukaryota; Metazoa; Chordata; Mammalia; Rodentia; Caviidae. The record is from RNAcentral.